This 238-nucleotide ribosomal RNA is filed under the name uncultured bacterium. RNAcentral describes it as "partial 16S ribosomal RNA". It matches the Rfam family "Bacterial small subunit ribosomal RNA", at positions 28 to 263 of the family's 1533-position model. The record is from RNAcentral.
GAUGAACGCUAGCGGCAGGCCUAAUACAUGCAAGCCGAACGGCAAUCCCGACGGCAACGUCGGGACUAGAGUGGCGUAAGGGUGCGUAACACGUAUGGAAUCUACCCGCAACAGGAGGAUAGCUCUCCGAAAGGGGAAUUAAUCCUGCAUAGGAUUUAGGGGCGGCAUCGCCUUUAGAUUAAACUUUCAAGGGUUGUGGAUGAUCAUGCGCAUGAUUAGUUAGUUGGCGGGGUAAGGG